CGAGCGGUAAGGCCCUUUCGGGGGUACACGAGCGGCGAACGGGUGAGUAACACGUGGGUGACCUGCCCUCAGCUCUGGGAUAAGCCUGGGAAACUGGGUCUAAUACCGGAUAUGACCUACCUCUGCAUGGGGGUGGGUGGAAAGUUUUUCGGCUGAGGAUGGGCCCGCGGCCUAUCAGCUUGUUGGUGGGGUGAUGGCCUACCAAGGCGACGACGGGUAGCCGGCCUGAGAGGGCGACCGGCCACACUGGGACUGAGAUACGGCCCAGACUCCUACGGGAGGCAGCAGUGGGGAAUAUUGCGCAAUGGGCGAAAGCCUGACGCAGCGACGCCGCGUGGGGGAUGACGGCCUUCGGGUUGUAAACCUCUUUCGACCGGGACGAAGGGUGACUGACGGUACCGGUAGAAGAAGCACCGGCCAACUACGUGCCAGCAGCCGCGGUAAUACGUAGGGUGCGAGCGUUGUCCGGAAUUAUUGGGCGUAAAGAGCUCGUAGGCGGUGUGUCACGUCGGUCGUGAAAACUUGGGGCUCAACCCUGAGCGUGCGGUCGAUACGGGCAUCACUUGAGUUCGGCAGGGGAGACUGGAAUUCCUGGUGUAGCGGUGAAAUGCGCAGAUAUCAGGAGGAACACCGGUGGCGAAGGCGGGUCUCUGGGCCGAUACUGACGCUGAGGAGCGAAAGCGUGGGGAGCGAACAGGAUUAGAUACCCUGGUAGUCCACGCCGUAAACGGUGGGCACUAGGUGUGGGGGCCAUUCCACGGUCUCUGUGCCGCAGCUAACGCAUUAAGUGCCCCGCCUGGGGAGUACGGCCGCAAGGCUAAAACUCAAAGGAAUUGACGGGGGC
This 844-nucleotide ribosomal RNA is filed under the name Pseudonocardia sp. Its description in RNAcentral is "bacterial SSU rRNA". It matches the Rfam family "Bacterial small subunit ribosomal RNA", at positions 63 to 920 of the family's 1533-position model. The record is from RNAcentral. Lineage: Bacteria; Bacillati; Actinomycetota; Actinomycetes; Pseudonocardiales; Pseudonocardiaceae.